Non-coding RNA from Acanthosepion pharaonis, 106 nucleotides. NCBI's taxonomy places the organism in Eukaryota, Metazoa, Mollusca, Cephalopoda, Sepiida, Sepiidae. The record is from the annotation of a GenBank genome assembly.
CUACGGCCAUAUCACGUUGAAAUGCCGCUUCUCGUAUGAAGUUAAGCAACGUCGAGCCUGGUCAGUACCUAGAUGGGUGAGCGCUUGGGAAUACCAGGUGCUGUAA